Molecule: ribosomal RNA, 842 nt
Filed under: uncultured Chloroflexota bacterium
Lineage: Bacteria; Bacillati; Chloroflexota
Description: bacterial SSU rRNA
Rfam family: Bacterial small subunit ribosomal RNA
Source: RNAcentral
GAUAAACGCUGGCGGUGUGCUUUAUGCAUGUAAGUCGAACGGUCUCGAUUUAUCGGGAUAGUGGCAAACGGGUGAGUAACGCGUAAGUAACCUGUCCCUAAGUAGGGGAUAACUCUGAGAAAUCGGAGCUAAUACCGUAGUGGUGGUGGGGGUAAUGCUUCACCACUAAAGCCUUCGGGUGCUUGGGGAGGGGCUUGCGUCCGAUUAGCUAGUUGGUAAGGUAACGGCCUACCAAGGCUAAGAUCGGUAGCUGGUCUGAGAGGACGAUCAGCCACACUGGGACUGAGACACGGCCCAGACUCCUACGGGAGGCAGCAGCAAGGAAUAUUGUGCAAUGGGCGAAAGCCUGACACAGCGACACCGCGUGGGGGAGGAAGGCCUUCGGGUUGUAAACCCCUUUUCUCAGGGAAGAAUAAUGACGGUACCUGAGGAAUAAGUCUUGGCUAACUACGUGCCAGCAGCCGCGGUAAUACGUAGGAGGCAAGCGUUAUCCGGAUUUAUUGGGCGUAAAGAGGGCGUAGGUGGCUCUUCAAGUCGGAUGUAAAAUCUCCCGGCUUAACUGGGAGGGACCAUUCGAUACUGCUGGGCUAGAGUGCAGCAGAGGGAGGUGGAAUUCCCGGUGGAGUGGUGAAAUGCGUAGAUAUCGGGAGGAACACCAGUGGCGAAGGCGGCCUCCUGGGCUGUUACUGACGCUGAGGCCCAAAAGCGUGGGGAGCGAACAGGAUUAGAUACCCUGGUAGUCCACGCCGUAAACGAUGGACACUAGGUAUGGGGAGUAUCGACCCUUUCCGUGCCGAAGCUAACGCAUUAAGUGUCCCGCCUGGGGAGACGGUCGCAAGACU